Molecule: long non-coding RNA, 941 nt
Filed under: Homo sapiens (human)
Lineage: Eukaryota; Metazoa; Chordata; Mammalia; Primates; Hominidae
Description: long intergenic non-protein coding RNA 623
Source: RNAcentral
GGCAUUCCUAUCAGAGCCUGAACCACAGACAGUACCUUAGAGUCUAAGCUUAGAUACCUUUGUCUUGUUUUUGUGGCUAAGGAUUCUCAGAGUUGCGGGAUGCUGAUGAAAUUUAUCCCAAAAAGUGUGAAGAGUGCAAAGACCUUAUAGAAUCUGUGCUGGAGGAGGAGGUGCAGUUUCAGGAGAGGGAGCUGGCCGAAUUGCCGAGGUCAGCUGCAAGGCUCCGGAUACAUGAUCCCUUAAUUCAGGCUCAGGCUGAAGAACUGACCCACUUACAACAGAAGAUACAGGAAGGGAGAGGUGUCUGCUACCUUUUCACCCAGCAUGUGAAGAACACAGUCAAGUCUUUUGAGGGCCUUCUCAGGAACACUGACAUUGCCUACUACCAGAGACAGAGAUUCUGUGAGCAAAUGGUACAAGGAAGCCAGCUGACAGAGAUCCUUGUCAGAAAACUUGCCACAGAAUCAACCCCAAUGCUCACUAACAAACUGAGAAGAAAAAAAAGAAUUACCCCCAACAACAUCUGAGGAAGCACAACAGGGACAGACUUGAAGGCACCUGGGCAGUCCUCUGGUUUUGGAGUAGAGGCAGCUGACGUCUGGUGAUGAUUCACCAUAUCAGGAACACCCUGUCCAGUGGGCUAAGGCAAGCCUGCCAGGCCACUUCUCUAAAGACACAACCUGAGGCCUCCUGCAAUAAUUCUCACAGAGCAUUCUGAACAUACAUAAAAUCACAAUGGUAAGAAAAAUGAAGACAGGCAAAAGCCACUGGCUCCCAGGUAACUCUACAUGAUGAAGGGGCUGAUAAUGGACUGACCAAAUCUAGAGAGAAUUCCAGAAGCAAGGACUCAAGAGGUUAAAGGUCCCAGAUCUAGAAAAAGCAGAAACUGCUGAUUGUUCCUUUUUUUGUUGACUGAUUAUACAAUGUGUCCUUUUAAAAAU